Thamnophis elegans (Western terrestrial garter snake) is the source of this 1855-nucleotide long non-coding RNA. RefSeq lists it as uncharacterized. The transcript is spliced from 2 exons. The record is from RefSeq and is a predicted model, not a curated record. NCBI's taxonomy places the organism in Eukaryota, Metazoa, Chordata, Lepidosauria, Squamata, Natricidae.
CAAGCGCAUACGCAAAUGAUAGUGCAUUGGACCUCUAACCGGAUUUGAAGGUGAAGAUGAGAUAUUCGUAUGCUCGGAACUGACAUGCAAAUAAACCCAUGUUCUUUUGAUUCUUAAUUGAAGCCCUUCUCCCGUUUUCUCUGUCUGCAGAAGCCUCUCCUUGGGAAACAAGAGAGAAAUACUUUUUGACUACUAGAGAUGUCAAGCACUUCAAAUAUAUCAAAAAUAGGAAAGAAGGCCUCAUUGACACCCUCAUCAGCAAAAUCAUCCCCAUCGAAUCAACGAUCGAUAGAAAACAUGCCAGGCUUGGAGAAGUUAAUCUCUAUGCAGAAUAUGCAAGUGAUGCUACUAUCAAUCCAAGAAGUCAUGUCAAAAACCACAAUGAGAUUAAAAGCAAAAUGGGGGAGAUGAAGGGGGACAUAAAAAAGAUUGAUGAAAAAAUAGGGAACAUCCAGCAAAUGAUAACAAAGAGUAAGCAGAGAAUACAGAAAGUAGAAAUGCUAAACAAACAGAAAAAAAUGGAAGAAAUGGAUCAAAAACUAUCCUUGGCUAACAAAGAAUAAGAAGAGACAAUUUUUCUUGAAAUGGAAAAGGCGGCUUUCUAUCUGAGAUGUCAGAAUAUUGUUGAAGAGAAAGAGGAAGACUGGUUGAGGUGAUGAUGGACUUGUUGGCGGAAGUAUUGCAGAAAAACAAGCACAAUGUACAAAGUGACAUAAAUGAAACAUUCAGAAUCCACACAAAUUAUGCAAGAAGGCACAAACUACCGAAAGAGGUGUACGUAAGGUUCACCAAAAAGACAAUGAGAGAUGAAGUAUACAAAUGAACGAGAGAUGAACCCAUGAUGUACAGAGGGAGAUAAAUCCAGACAUUAAAAGAGUUACCCAGGAGAGUCAGAACAGAGAAGACAGUUUCAAUUUUUGACCGCACAAUUUAUUAAGUACAAUGUAAUGUUCAGAUGGUUGAUACCAGAAAAAAUUCUGAUCUUCUGGCAAAAUAAGAAAUUCAUGGUGGAUACCUUAGAUAAAGCACGUGAAUAUUUUGAACACCAUUUCAGGACAGAUGAAGAUUAGGAAAGUAGAGAGGAGAUAUAAAGUAAAAGCCAAGAUGAACUGCAAACAGAAGUAAAAGCUUUAGAACAAGAAGAAAGAGUGAGGGUGGAAAAUGACCAGGUGGAAUGAGAAGGCACCAAAACAAAAGGAUAGAGAGAGACAAGAACAACUAGAAAGACAAGACCUGUAUAUAAGUGAAAAGAUAGAUGAGGAAAUUAAGAUGCUAUCUGUUAAUAUAAAUAGAUUGAACCUCCCCCCAAAAAGAAAACAAAUCCUUACAAAACUGCAAAGAUUAAAAUUGAAUAUAAUCUGCUUCCAAGAAGUGCACAUCAAAAAACAACAUGGCAAUCUAUUAGAAUACUCCAAAAUUGGGAAGUUGUACUCGUCUCGAGUAUAUCAAAAGAAGAGAGGAGUAGCAUUAUACAUUAAAUCUAAACAAAUAUAUGCAGUGGUUAUCUGGGAUAUCUUUUUUCUCUCUUUUCUCACUUUUUUCUUUCCCCUUUCUUUUUUCCUUAUAGUCAACAUUAAUUGGACGAGCUAUGAAAAGAAAAAGAGAGAAUAAAAUCAGGAAGAUGAGCAGAAAGACAACACCAGUGGGCUCUGUAACAAUGACUCCUGCCUGCUCCCCGGCAGGAGGUCAAAGGUCAAUACAGAUGAUGAUUCAACAGGAAAAAGAGAAGGCUACAUCAUUAGAGGCAAUUAUGCAAGCAAUACAAAAAUUACAAACAAGCACCGAUGAAAAACUAGAUACGCUUGUAAAGAGGUCUGAAAAUAUGGAAAAGAAGAUGAAGACAAUGGAUCAGCGA